Molecule: ribosomal RNA, 404 nt
Filed under: Verrucomicrobiota bacterium
Lineage: Bacteria; Pseudomonadati; Verrucomicrobiota
Description: Verrucomicrobia bacterium partial 16S ribosomal RNA
Rfam family: Bacterial small subunit ribosomal RNA
Source: RNAcentral
UGGGGAAUAUUGCACAAUGGGGGAAACCCUGAUGCAGCGACGCCGCGUGAGCGAUGAAGGCUUUCGAGUCGUAAAGCUCUGUCCUAUGGGAAGAUAAUGACGGUACCAUAGAAGAAAGCCCCGGCUAAUUACGUGCCAGCAGCCGCGGUAAUACGUAAGGGGCGAGCGUUGUCCGGAAUUAUUGGGCGUAAAGAGUGCGUAGGCGGCAAAUUAAGUCAGAUGUGAAAACUAAGGGCUCAACCCAUAGAUUGCAUCUGAAACUGAUAUGCUUGAGUCAAGGAGAGGAAAGUGGAAUUCCUAGUGUAGCGGUGGAAUGCGUAGAUAUUAGGAGGAGUACCGGUGGCGAAGGCGACUUUCUGGACUUGAACUGACGCUGAGGCACGAAAGCGUGGGGAGCAAACAGG